Molecule: ribosomal RNA, 462 nt
Filed under: uncultured bacterium
Lineage: Bacteria
Description: partial 16S ribosomal RNA
Rfam family: Bacterial small subunit ribosomal RNA
Source: RNAcentral
CUACGGGGGGCAGCAGUGGGGAAUAUUGCACAAUGGGCGCAAGCCUGAUGCAGCCAUGCCGCGUGUAUGAAGAAGGCCUUCGGGUUGUAAAGUACUUUCAGCGGGGAGGAAGGGAGUAAAGUUAAUACCUUUGCUCAUUGACGUUACCCGCAGAAGGAGCACCGGCUAACUCCGUGCCAGCAGCCGCGGUAAUACGGAGGGUGCAAGCGUUAAUCGGAAUUACUGGGCGUAAAGCGCACGCGGGCGGUUGGUAAGUCAGAUGUGAAAUCCCCGGGCUCAACCUGGGAACUGCAUCUGAACUGGCAAGCUUGAGUCUCGUAGAGGGGGGUAAAAUUCCAGGUGUAGCGGUGAAAUGCGUAGAGAUCUGGAGGAAUACCGGUGGCGAAGGCGGCCCCCUGGACGAAGACUGACGCUCAGGUGCGAAAGCGUGGGGAGCAAACAGGAUUAGAUACCCCAGUAGUC